GGGCCGGUAGCUCAGCUUGGUAGAGCGCUUGACUUUUAAUCAAGCGGUCGCGAGUUCAAAUCUCGUCCGGCCCG
This 74-nucleotide transfer RNA is filed under the name Nanobdellota archaeon. RNAcentral describes it as "tRNA-Lys". It matches the Rfam family "tRNA". From Rfam's summary of the family: Transfer RNA (tRNA) molecules are approximately 80 nucleotides in length. RNAcentral also lists the same sequence under 2 other names. The record is from RNAcentral. Lineage: Archaea; Nanobdellati; Nanobdellota.